CCGAAUUCCUGCUGACCUCAGAAUCAUAUCUGCGAAUGGCUGCAAGGUGGAUAACUCCUCACUCACUGGUGAAUCAGAACCCCAGACUAGGUCUCCAGAUUUCACAAAUGAAAACCCCCUGGAGACGAGGAACAUUGCCUUCUUUUCAACCAAUUGUGUUGAAGGCACCGCACGUGGUAUUGUUGUCUACACUGGGGAUCGCACUGUGAUGGGAAGAAUUGCCACACUUGCUUCUGGGCUCGAAGGAGGCCAGACCCCCAUUGCUGCAGAAAUUGAACAUUUUAUCCACAUCAUCACGGGUGUGGCUGUGUUCCUGGGUGUGUCUUUCUUCAUCCUUUCUCUCAUCCUUGAGUACACCUGGCUUGAGGCUGUCAUCUUCCUCAUCGGUAUCAUCGUAGCCAAUGUGCCAGAAGGUUUGCUGGCCACUGUCACGGUAAGAGGCAGGUGAUGGUCACCCUGACUCAGAUCAGCUUGCAUGAAUGUUACACUCUUCCGCUAUCCUAUUCUAAGGUAUUGCCAACUUAUGUUUUAUUCUGGAUGUUUGAUAUAGUUUUUCUUGAGAGCCACAUCACGUGGUGAGUUUUGACAGUGAGAAAACCUCAGCAUUUGUUUAUACGUAAGAUAACUCCAAAGCAUACAUUUGGCUUUUAAAUGAUCACGUGGUCC
RNAcentral lists this small RNA (666 nucleotides) under Pongo abelii (Sumatran orangutan). RNAcentral's name for it is "processed transcript". The record is from RNAcentral. Lineage: Eukaryota; Metazoa; Chordata; Mammalia; Primates; Hominidae.